This 368-nucleotide ribosomal RNA is filed under the name uncultured organism. RNAcentral's name for it is "bacterial SSU rRNA". It matches the Rfam family "Bacterial small subunit ribosomal RNA", at positions 526 to 896 of the family's 1533-position model. The record is from RNAcentral.
CGUAGGUGGCAAGCGUUGUCCGGAUUUAUUGGGUUUAAAGGGUGCGUAGGCGGCUUUGUAAGUCAGUGGUGAAAUAUGGCAGCUCAACUGUCAGGGUGCCAUUGAUACUGCGGAGCUUGAGUACAGAUGAGGUAGGCGGAAUUGACGGUGUAGCGGUGAAAUGCUUAGAUAUCGUCAAGAACACCGAUAGCGAAGGCAGCUUACUGGGCUGUAACUGACGCUGAGGCACGAAAGUGUGGGGAUCAAACAGGAUUAGAUACCCUGGUAGUCCACACUGUAAACGUUGAUGACUCGCUGUUGGCGAUACACAGCCAGCGGCAGAGAGAAAUCGUUAAGUCAUCCACCUGGGGAGUACGCCGGCAACGGUG